Molecule: transfer RNA, 64 nt
Filed under: Cavia porcellus (domestic guinea pig)
Lineage: Eukaryota; Metazoa; Chordata; Mammalia; Rodentia; Caviidae
Rfam family: tRNA
About the family: Transfer RNA (tRNA) molecules are approximately 80 nucleotides in length. Their secondary structure includes four short double-helical elements and three loops (D, anti-codon, and T loops).
Source: Rfam by way of RNAcentral
GGGGAUUUAGCUCAGUAGCUUGAGCACCUGCCUGGCAAGCAUGAGGUUGUAAGUUUAAUCCCCG